Brachypodium distachyon (stiff brome) is the source of this 72-nucleotide non-coding RNA. NCBI's taxonomy places the organism in Eukaryota, Viridiplantae, Streptophyta, Magnoliopsida, Poales, Poaceae. The record is from Rfam.
GGUUCCAUAGUGUAGUGGCUAGCACCCCAGACUUUGAAUCUGGUAACCUGGGUUCGAAUCCCGGUGGGACCU